UACCAGCACCCCGAGUGGUCGGGACGUUUAUUGGGCCUAAAGCAUCCGUAGCCGGUUCUACAAGUCUUCCGUUAAAUCCAGCUGCUUAACAGACGGGCUGCGGAAGAUACUAUGGAGCUAGGAGGCGGGAGAGGCAAGCGGUACUCGAUGGGUAGGGGUAAAAUCCGUUGAUCCAUUGAAGACCACCAGUGGCGAAGGCGGCUUGCCAGAACGCGCUCGACGGUGAGGGAUGAAAGCUGGGGGAGCAAACCGG
Molecule: ribosomal RNA, 253 nt
Filed under: uncultured bacterium
Lineage: Bacteria
Description: partial 16S ribosomal RNA
Rfam family: Archaeal small subunit ribosomal RNA
Source: RNAcentral